ACGCUCGACACCUACGGGAGCAGCAGUGGGGAAUAUUGCACAAUGGGGGAAACCCUGAUGCAGCGACGCCGCGUGAGCGAAGAAGUAUUUCGGUAUGUAAAGCUCUAUCAGCAGGGAAGAAACUGACGGUACCUGACUAAGAAGCACCGGCUAAAUACGUUCCAGCAGCCGCGGUAAUCUGAGCGGGCUGGCAAGGC
RNAcentral lists this ribosomal RNA (197 nucleotides) under uncultured bacterium. Its description in RNAcentral is "partial 16S ribosomal RNA". It matches the Rfam family "Bacterial small subunit ribosomal RNA", at positions 328 to 539 of the family's 1533-position model. The record is from RNAcentral.